This is a long non-coding RNA of Homo sapiens (human), 1793 nucleotides long. RefSeq lists it as uncharacterized. NCBI's taxonomy places the organism in Eukaryota, Metazoa, Chordata, Mammalia, Primates, Hominidae. The transcript is spliced from 2 exons. The record is from RefSeq and is a predicted model, not a curated record.
ACUUCCCGACAGCCCCCGCGCAUCUCUGUGGCAGCUGCCCUGGUGCUUCCCGCCCCGCCGCGCCCGCCCACCCAACGGCGCUGUGUCCCGCCGGUAGCUCAGCGGGGACUUCCUUUAUGUGGUACAGGGUUGGGCCUGGAGACCCGGAUGCCGGCGAGGUCCUGGCUGGGAGAGGCCGCCGCUGCCUUCAGGUUUCCGAGUAAUACACAGCCGUGUCCUCAGCUCUCAGGCUGUUCAUUUGAAGAUGCAGCGUGUUCUUGGAAUUGUCUCUGGAGAUGGUGAAUCUGCCCUUCCUGGAGUCUGCGUAGUAUGUGCUACCACCACUAAUGGAUGAGACCCACUCCAGACCCUUCCCUGGAGCCUGGCGGACCCAGCUCAUCUCAUUGCUACUGACGGUGAAUCCAGAGGCUGCACAGGAGAGUCUCAGGGACCCCCCAGGCUGUACCAAGACUCCCCGAGACUCCACCAGCUGCACCUCACACUGGACACCUGCAAACACAGAGACACCAAGGUCAGAAACUGCCACACAUACCCACUGUUUUGCUCACUCAUGUCCACUCACACUCAACAUCUGUAGUUCUCCAUGAAUCAUCUUUUAAAAUAGCAACAAGGAAAACCCAGCUCAGCACAAACUGCAUGAUGAGUUCUGUAUGUUCAGUCCUGAUCACUGAAUGAAAACACCUGGGAAUCCCAAGGCUGGGGCUCCACUCCCAGAGCUGCAGGGUCAGGGCUGGGCUGGUUUUCAUCAGGAGAGGGAAGGCCCUAUUUGCAUGUCUCCUACUACAUAGCAAGCUCAGGGGUGGGACGCCUGAGGAGAGGGCAGGGCCAAGAGCAGAUGAGAGCGUCCUGGGGGAUUUUGGUGACAAUGAUUGUAUUUGGGAAAAUGCUGCCUUAUUUUGAAAUUGUUCUGUGAUAAACAUUUAACAACUAUCACAUUUUUAAUUAUUUUUACCUAUGUGUAUAAAUUAUGUUAUUUAAGAGUCAGUGGUUUCUUCAUUUACAGAUGUAAAAGUGAACCUACACGUGGAAGGGCUAUGUAUGUGUUCAUGGGUUUAUAUCUGGCAUGAGUGAGUCCCAGUAUCUGGGCCUAUGCUCCUCACAACUGGCCUCAAUUGCUCUCUGAACCAACUCUAGGACAGAGCUAAAUGGGCCUAGUGUGGUUUGCAGAAUCCACUUCCUGUCAUGAGAACCUGUGUAAUUUUCCUGCAUUUACCUAAAAAUACAGAGACAACUAGGCGUCAGGCAGAUAAAUAUUUGGUGUAUAUGAUAUUUAACAUAUUUAUUUGUUCCUUCCUAUCAUCCCUUUUUUGUCUAAGUUUUUAGCUGUUUACUUGCAAUAAAUUUUAUGAGUUUUAAUUGACAGAUAAUAAAAUUCACAUAUUUACCCUGUACAAUAGUAAACUUUGAAAAAAAUCUCUAUUUUAAAGAAGGUGACAAGUCAACUCUCCUCAGCAUUUCUCUUGGUCUAUUAUUUUUUUUGGUUUUUCUCCUUCCUUCUUCUACCAUUUCCUUAUAAAACUACUGAUGUUUUCAUAUUUCUUUAUACUAGCUUUUAUUUUCUAGAAUUUAUAAGAAUGAAUAAUAUGAUAUGUACUGUUAUCUAUUUGGCUUAUUUUUCUCAAUAGAAAUAGUGGAAAUUAAACCUUUUAUGUUGUAUGUGUUUCUCAUAAAUACUGGGUAGCAUUUCAGCAAACAAAUGUAGCAUAAUUUGUUUUUCUAUUAAGUUGCUAAUUGGUAUUUGAAUUAUUCAUUACUCUGGGUCUUAAUAAUAAAUAUGCUACUCAGUUUGGUAA